Molecule: long non-coding RNA, 2541 nt
Filed under: Triticum aestivum (bread wheat)
Lineage: Eukaryota; Viridiplantae; Streptophyta; Magnoliopsida; Poales; Poaceae
Description: long non-coding RNA (TAES_LNC023709)
Source: RNAcentral
AUCAAUAUAAUGUAAUAUUGAUUUUCGGAAGCCAUUUUACUACACAAGACAUAAUACCAAAUGACUUCGGAAAAAUCCAGAAAAUCCACGUAAGAGAAAUAAACAAGAAGGACUCAAAUAAAAUGCUACCAACGAGUAAAAUGAACUCAGGAAAUUACAGAACUUAUAUUCCUCCUGUCAUAUGCUAAAUCAAUUCCCAACUCCUUGGUAUUAAUUUGAGCAACUCCAAAUAAAAUACAUUACUCAUAUAAGCUUAUGUUGCAACAUCCUUAGCUUUAGAGAAAAAUUAACUCCCGGAAAAAAAAUCAGGACGUCACAAGUCGAAGUAGAAGUAGCAACCACUCCAUGUCAUGAACCUUCUCCAUCUGAUUCAGUAAGGGAGAAUUAGCAUCCUUCUCGAAUGGCUACAAAGGGUACCGUUUAUAGUUUAGUGUGUUCUAUUAAUAACUGAAUUUGAAAUGACACAAGGCAUCCUCAAGUAUCCAUAGUAUUGAAGUUGCUAUACAAAAGCAACACGCCACAUACCCAAUAGAAAUUUCUGGGAGGGGGCGAAGUAGUAGCUAAAAGGAAGAAGAGUAGUACGGGAGUGACUUACAUCUACUUCUGCCCUAGAAGGUUAGUUUCUUAGUCGCCAAGCCUUUUUCCUUCUCAUUGUAGAAAUGAGCAUUUUCCCUCUAGUGUUUUCCUUCCGUAGCGUGGAGGCCUAUCACGGGGAGCAUACCGACGGCGUCCAGAUCCAAUUUGCAGCCGGCUCAAAGCUUCUCUCUCUCUCUCUCUCUUUGUGCGUGUGUGCGUGUGCGUGUGUGUGUGUGUGUGUGUGUGUGUGUGUGUGAACAAUUGCAUUCUGCUGACGAGGACGGAUUGCAGCCAGGCACACGACGCCGAGAUUAGUGUGGCUAUCUAACGGUCCUAGAGGCGUUCGCACGGGUUUGCUAAAAAUCUGACGUCAGAUUUCUAAUGAUUUUGUUUAUUUAUCAUAUUGAAAGGAGUACAAGGAUCAGCCAGCUAGUUUUUAUCAUACAUAAUGUUAUUUCUUAAUUUCCAAAUAGUCCAUAAAAUGGCAGAGAUCCCUACCACAAGUCCACAACUAGAAUGUUUUCACUCUUAUACUAAAUCUCAACAGCCAAGUGUUGAACAGGCCGUGUACAAUAUCUCAGGCCAUUCGGACGUCAAGAGGAGGCAUUCGGACAACGAUCUCGGCACGCCUGGGCUCCGCGGCGCGUGGCGGCUGCACGUGGCCGCCGGUGAUGCAGCAGUACACCAGCAGCGCAACGGCGGCGACCGCGAGAGCCGACACGCCGACCGCUAUCCAGGCUUUCUCUUCUCCGGUGAGGCCGUGGGCCGGCUCCGGCUGGUGGGUGGAGUGAGGGGGUGGGGGCGGCGGCGGCAGGAGCUGGAAGACCACGUCCGACGGCAGCACCUCGGCUGCGGCGUUGCCGAGCAGCAGGAGCAGGAUGCACAGACGACCCAUCGCCGACACCGCACUGAGCCCCACCUCCAUGACGCUGCUUCUCCCUAGCUAACAAGGAUCAGUCGAGUUGUGUUGCUGAGCUACAGAGUCGGGGGAAGGAGAAGAAGGGUAUAAGAAGGAUCACUCGAGUUGUAUUGCUCAGGUGCAGAGUCAGGGGAAGGAGAAGAAGGGUAUAUAUAGAAGGGGGAAGCGACCAGAUAGAAACAGGGCCUCAACCUGAGCCGUUGGAUUAGGUUGGAUGACACAGAUCUUGGUGGAGGAAUCUGCACGCAUAAUUAUUUUGUGAAGAGAAAAGGCUCACCCUUGCUGUGAUCAUUUACUCACUUGCUGAAACUAUUGUAUGAAAACAUGACUCUUUUUAAGUAAAUAGAAGAUUUUUAUUCUCUUAUUAAUUGUUGGCCCUAGAUGAUAACAACUACUCCAAUUUAUAACUGACAUGUCUAUUCAUGCGAACAAGCAUGCUCAUACUAAAUAUUUGUUCAUCAAGUACUACAGUAAUUAUGCCAAAAUAGUGGUAUAACAAAAUAGCCAGAUUCUGAAGCUUCUCCCUUUUCUCAAACUGUACAAUGUCAAUAUGCAUACUUCGAGAAGCAAAGCGCGUAGAACCGUGUUGUGGAAAAUAAAACUCAGGGUGUAGAGGCAAUAGCAUGUAUCAAAAUGUGUGAAAUAUAGGAUCCGUGCUGAACUGGAAAGGAAAUAGCAUUACCAUGGUGGAAGAACUGUAGGAGGGGCAGUGCAACACUGGUCAGAAAACCAAAGAAAGAAACAUAUUCACAUAUCACCAGAAUUACCCACCUGAUGCGGCCGGGCCGUUAAUACGACGCACGUCAUUACAUCUAGAGAAGAUCCCCGACCCCCGCCCUAGCGCCGUCUCCCCGGGAGGCGGCCGGGGUGGCGCUCGCUCCCCCUCCCAUCCGUCCCCCUCCUCCUCUCACUCCCCUCCGCCGCAGCUGGCGGGCGCCCCCGGAUCUGGCCCGGGUGGUGUCGGCGAUCAUCUGUACCCGCGCGCGGGGCCCUCUUUUCCGGGACAAGGGGUCGGUGGUGGUGAGGCUCGGCUGACGGCGGUCCNN